RNAcentral lists this ribosomal RNA (253 nucleotides) under uncultured bacterium. RNAcentral describes it as "partial 16S ribosomal RNA". It matches the Rfam family "Bacterial small subunit ribosomal RNA", at positions 524 to 776 of the family's 1533-position model. The record is from RNAcentral.
GACAGAGGGUGCAAACGUUGUUCGGAAUUACUGGGCGUAAAGCGUGUGUAGGCGGUCACGUAAGUCGGAUGUGAAAGCCCUGGGCUCAACCCAGGAAGUGCACUCGAUACUCCGUGGCUUGAGUACUGGAGAGGUUGGUGGAAUUCUCGGUGUAGAGGUGAAAUUCGUAGAUAUCGAGAGGAACACCGGUGGCGAAGGCGGCCAACUGGACAGAUACUGACGCUGAAACACGAAAGCGUGGGGAGCAAACAGG